This 473-nucleotide long non-coding RNA is filed under the name Urocitellus parryii (Arctic ground squirrel). RNAcentral describes it as "lncRNA (ENSUPAG00010018196.1)". The record is from RNAcentral. Lineage: Eukaryota; Metazoa; Chordata; Mammalia; Rodentia; Sciuridae.
CACACAUUGGCAAGAAAGCUCUACUGGAAGCUUUAUAAUCAAUAAACCUGUUGUUUGUUGAAGGAUUACAUCUCUAAACUUGCAUGUUAAGCAGGGACUACUUCUUGGACUAUUUAUUAACUGGAAAGCUCAUUCCUCUUUUUCCCUCUGUGAUUAUGCCUUGGUACGUCUCCAGAGCUCGCCUGGCUUAUGUUCUUCAGGUUUUCUCAGAGGCAUCACACAAAUGUGUCCAAGUUGUCAGGAAUUCRGAGAUAAGGGUUUAUCAAAUGGACUGACCAGUGAUGGAGUGGGUGGCUCAGAGAUAUUUCAAACAGGCUACAAGAAUCCCCCAAUGAAGUCCUACCACAAAUUCAUUGUUGAUCAUGGAUUCGACCUUCAGCAUGCAGAGAGGAAAUACAGAGUUCAAAGCAAGGUGAGGAGGCUCAUGGCCAAAAAAUUCCAUCUGCAGAGAACAACUUAUGGCCUACCCUAGC